GAGUGAGACUGCGUGCGACAAGGUUCGUAGUCAAGAGGGAAACAGCCCAGACCAACAACUAAGGUCCCAAAAUACCGCUAAGUGUAAAAUGAAGUGUUAAUGCACAGACAGCCAGGAGGUUGGCUUAGAAGCAGCCAUUCAUUAAAAGAGUGCGUAAUAGCUCACUGGUCGAGCAUUGAUGCGCAGAUAAUGUAACGGGGCUAAGCGGUAUACCGAAGUUUUGGAUUUUACUUUUAUGAGUAAGAUGGUAGGGGAGCAUUCCAUGUGCUGAAGAAGGCGUACCUGUGAGGGGCGCUGGAGGUAGUGGAAGAGAGAAUGCAGGUAUAAGUAACGCAAAGACGGGUGAGAUCCCCGUCCGCCGAAAACCUAAGGUUUCCUGGGUAAAGGCAAUCUGCCCAGGGUAAGUCGGCCCCUAAGGCGAGGACGAAAGUCGUAGUCGAUGGGAAUCUGGUUCAAAGUCCAGAACCUUUAUUAGUUUCGAGGGCAAGACGCAUGAGGUGAAACCCGGCCAGAGAAUGGUAGUUCUGGUCGAAGCAGUAAGCUGAAGAGGUAUGUAGGCAAAUCCGCAUACCGAGGUGAGCUGUGACAGCGAGCGGAGAGAAAGUCGAAGUGAAGCGGGUGUAAUCAUGGUGCCGAGAAAUACUGUCUAAGGCUAGGCUAAUAGAGACCGUACCGGAAACCGACACAGGUAGGAAGGAUGAGAAAUCUAAGGCGCACGAGAGACCUCGCGUUAAGGAACUCGGCAAAAUGCACACGUAACUUCGGGAGAAGUGUGGCCCAAUUUGGUUAAAGAAGAGGGUGGCACAGAGCAGGCCCAGGCGACUGUUUAUCAAAAACACAGCCAUCUGCGAAUCAGUAAUGAGACGUAUAGGUGGUGACACCUGCCCGGUGCUGGAAGGUUAAGAGGAGAUGUCAAGGGAGCCCUGAAGCAUUGAAUCGAAGCCCCAGUAAACGGCGGCCGUAACUAUAACGGUCCUAAGGUAGCGAAAUUCCUUGUCGGGUAAGUUCCGACCCGCACGAAUGGUGUAACGAUUCUGGGCACUGUCUCAACGCGAGACUCGGUGAAAUUUAUAUACCGGUAAAGAAGCCGGUUACCCACAGUUAGACGGAAAGACCCCGUGAACCUUCACCGUAACUUACUAUUGGGAUCUUAUUUAUCAUGUGUAGGAUAGGUGGGAGACAGAGAAACAUGGCCGUUAGGUUGUGUGGAGUCGUUGGUGAAAUACCACCCUUGAUGAAUGAGAUUUCUAACC
RNAcentral lists this ribosomal RNA (1253 nucleotides) under bioreactor metagenome. RNAcentral's name for it is "bacterial LSU rRNA". It matches the Rfam family "Bacterial large subunit ribosomal RNA", at positions 981 to 2227 of the family's 2925-position model. The record is from RNAcentral.